CUACCGGGUGACCGGAUGCCGAUCUCGAAAACCUGUCCCAGUUCGGACUGGAGUCUGCAACCCGACUCCACGAAGUUGGAUUCGCUAGUAAUCGCGCAUCAGCCAUGGCGCGGUGAAUACGUUCCCGGGCCUUGUACACACCGCCCGUCAAGCCAUGGGAGCCGGGGGCGCCUGAAGUCCGGGACCGCGAGGACCGGCCUAGGGCGAAACUGGUGACUGGGGCUAAGUCGUAACAAGGUAGC
This 242-nucleotide ribosomal RNA is filed under the name uncultured bacterium. RNAcentral describes it as "partial 16S ribosomal RNA". It matches the Rfam family "Bacterial small subunit ribosomal RNA", at positions 1250 to 1500 of the family's 1533-position model. The record is from RNAcentral.